Molecule: ribosomal RNA, 460 nt
Filed under: uncultured bacterium
Lineage: Bacteria
Description: partial 16S ribosomal RNA
Rfam family: Bacterial small subunit ribosomal RNA
Source: RNAcentral
CCUACGGGAGGCAGCAGUGAGGAAUAUUGGUCAAUGGACGCAAGCCUGAACCAGCCAUGCCGCGUGCAGGAAGACGGCCCUAUGAGUUGUAAACUGCUUUUGUACGAGGGUAAACGCAGAUACGCGUAUCUGUCUGAAAGUACCGUACGAAUAAGGAUCGGCUAACUCCGGGCCAGCAGCCGCGGUAAUACGGAGGAUUCAAGCGUUAUCCGGAUUUAUUGGGUUUAAAGGGUGCGUAGGCGGUCGGAUAAGUUAGAGGUGAAAUCCCGAGGCUCAACUUCGGAAUUGCCUCUGAUACUGGUCGGCUAGAGAAUAGUUGCGAUAGGCGGAAUGUAUGGUGUAGCGGUGAAAUGCUUAGAGAUCAUACAGAACACCGAUUGCGAAGGCAGCUUACCAAGCUACUUCUGACGUUGAGGCACGAAAGCGUGGGGAGCAAACAGGAUUAGAUACCCCGGUAGUC